RNAcentral lists this ribosomal RNA (253 nucleotides) under uncultured bacterium. RNAcentral's name for it is "partial 16S ribosomal RNA". It matches the Rfam family "Bacterial small subunit ribosomal RNA", at positions 524 to 776 of the family's 1533-position model. The record is from RNAcentral.
UACGAAGGGGGCUAGCGUUGCUCGGAAUUACUGGGCGUAAAGGGCGCGUAGGCGGCCUUCUAAGUCAGACGUGAAAUCCCCCGGCUUAACCUGGGAACUGCGUCUGAUACUGGAGGGCUUGAGUGCGGGAGAGGGAUGUGGAAUUCCAGGUGUAGCGGUGAAAUGCGUAGAUAUCUGGAGGAACACCGGUGGCGAAGGCGGCAUCCUGGACCGACACUGACACUGAGGCGCGAAAGCUAGGGUAGCAAACGGG